AUUGCACGCUGGCGGCAGGCCUAACACAUGCAAGUCGAGCGAGCGGCGGACGGGUGCGUAAUGUCUGGGAAACUGCCUGAUGGAGGGGGAUAACUACUGGAAACGGUAGCUAAUACCGCAUACCAUCAGAUGUGCCCAGACGGGAUUAGCUAGUUGGUGGGGUAACGGCUCACCAAGGCGACGAUCCGUAGCUGGUUUGAGAGGACGACCAGCCACACGGGGACUGGGACACGGCCCAGACUCCUACGGGAGGCAGCAGUGGGGAAUAUUGGACAAUGGGCGAAAGCCUGAUCCAGCCAUGCCGCGUGUGUGAAGAAGGUCUUCGGAUUGUAAAGCACUUUAAGUUGGGAGGCGUUACCAACAUAAUAAGCACCGGCUAACUUCGUGCCAGCAGCCGCGGUAAUUC
RNAcentral lists this ribosomal RNA (406 nucleotides) under uncultured bacterium. RNAcentral describes it as "partial 16S ribosomal RNA". It matches the Rfam family "Bacterial small subunit ribosomal RNA", at positions 30 to 526 of the family's 1533-position model. The record is from RNAcentral.